Molecule: long non-coding RNA, 508 nt
Filed under: Brassica napus (rape)
Lineage: Eukaryota; Viridiplantae; Streptophyta; Magnoliopsida; Brassicales; Brassicaceae
Description: long non-coding RNA (BNAP_LNC015150)
Source: RNAcentral
UAAAACAAUUACAUAUACAUGACAAUCUUUUAUAUGGUAAAAGAUGAAUCAUAUGAUUUCUGAUAAAAUUAACAAAAUAUAAAUAAUGAAAGCCAAUAUUAUUUCAAGCUGAACAAAAAUUAAAAUUGUUAGAUGGAAACUAAAAAUCAAAAUAUCUUAUAUUGAUUAUUGUAUAUGUAAAGUAACAAACGAAGACCAUGGAUUUUUGGACGAAAAAAUCAUACUCAUUACUCAUUAGACCCACAAACCACAUACUUCGAAGCCCAACAUAACGAAAUCCCAAUUUAACCAACCAAUAUGUAUACGCAUAACCAAUAACAUUCAACCAAGAAACCCACAGAAACCUCACCAAAACUAUAUAUAGUAGUAUUCUAUAUGGUCCGAACUCUUAAAACAAUACACAACCACCCCUGCAUAACGUACAUAAUCUAAAAACUAAUAAACCAUCUACGGCCUAACAUACACACCUAAAAACAUCAAAGUAAUUAUAAUCCUACUUUCAAAUCUU